This 489-nucleotide ribosomal RNA is filed under the name uncultured bacterium. RNAcentral describes it as "bacterial SSU rRNA". It matches the Rfam family "Bacterial small subunit ribosomal RNA", at positions 9 to 480 of the family's 1533-position model. The record is from RNAcentral.
GAGUUUGAUCCUGGCUCAGGAUGAACGCUGGCGGCGUGCCUAAUACAUGCAAGUCGAGCGAACAGAUAAGGAGCUUGCUCCUUUGACGUUAGCGGCGGACGGGUGAGUAACACGUGGGUAACCUACCUAUAAGACUGGAAUAACUCCGGGAAACCGGGGCUAAUGCCGGAUAAUAUUUAGAACCGCAUGGUUCUAAAGUGAAAGAUGGUUUUACUAUCACUUAUAGAUGGACCCGCGCCGUAUUAGCUAGUUGGUGGGGUAAUGGCUUACCAAGGCAACGAUACGUAGCCGACCUGAGAGGGUGAUCGGCCACACUGGAACUGAGACACGGUCCAGACUCCUACGGGAGGCAGCAGUAGGGAAUCUUCCGCAAUGGGCGAAAGCCUGACGGAGCAACGCCGCGUGAGUGAUGAAGGUCUUCGGAUCGUAAAACUCUGUUAUUAGGGAAGAACAAAUGUGUAAGUAACUGUGCACGUCUUGACGGUACCU